RNAcentral lists this ribosomal RNA (460 nucleotides) under uncultured bacterium. RNAcentral's name for it is "partial 16S ribosomal RNA". It matches the Rfam family "Bacterial small subunit ribosomal RNA", at positions 338 to 795 of the family's 1533-position model. The record is from RNAcentral.
CCUACGGGUGGCAGCAGUGAGGAAUAUUGCUCAAUGGGCGCAAGCCUGAACCAGCCAUGCCGCGUGGAGGAAGACGGCCCUAUGAGUUGUAAACUGCUUUUGUACGGGAGUAAAUGCAGGUACGUGUACCUGUCUGAAAGUAUCUUAUGAAUAAGGAUCGGCUAAAUCCGGGCCAGCAGCCGCGGUAAUCCGGAGGAUCCAAGCGUUAUCCGGGUUUAUUGGGUUUAAGGGGUGCGUAGACGGUCGGGUAAGUCAGACGUGAAAGCCCGAGGCUCAACUGCGGAAUUGCAUUUGAUACUGGUCGGCUAGAGAGCAGGUGAGGUAGGCGGAAUGCGUGGGGUAGCGGUGAAAUGCUUAGAGAUCACGAAGAACACCGAUUGCGAAGGCAGCUUACUAAACUGCUACUGACGUUGAGGCACGAAAGCGUGGGGAGCAAACAGGAUUAGAUACCCGGGUAGUC